UUGAUCUCAGAUUAGACAGGAGGACCCGCUGAACUUAAGCAU
This 42-nucleotide ribosomal RNA is filed under the name Synchytrium papillatum. Its description in RNAcentral is "partial 28S ribosomal RNA". Lineage: Eukaryota; Fungi; Chytridiomycota; Chytridiomycetes; Synchytriales; Synchytriaceae. The record is from RNAcentral.